UACGGGGGGUGCGAGCGUUGUCCGGAAUCACUGGGCGUAAAGGGCGCGUAGGUGGUUUGAUAAGGGUGUGGUGAAAGUCCGGGGCUCAACCCCGGAUCUGCCGUGCCGACUGUCAAACUCGAGGGCUGUAGAGGCAGACGGAAUUCCGGGUGUAGCGGUGGAAUGCGUAGAGAUCCGGAGGAAGACCGGUGGCGAAGGCGGUCUGCUGGGCAGUUUCUGGCACUGAGGCGCGACAGCGUGGGGAGCAAACAGG
This 253-nucleotide ribosomal RNA is filed under the name uncultured bacterium. RNAcentral's name for it is "partial 16S ribosomal RNA". It matches the Rfam family "Bacterial small subunit ribosomal RNA", at positions 524 to 776 of the family's 1533-position model. The record is from RNAcentral.